This 546-nucleotide ribosomal RNA is filed under the name uncultured bacterium. RNAcentral's name for it is "bacterial SSU rRNA". It matches the Rfam family "Bacterial small subunit ribosomal RNA", at positions 355 to 913 of the family's 1533-position model. The record is from RNAcentral.
UGGGGAAUCUUGGACAAUGGGGGCAACCCUGAUCCAGCCAUGCCGCGUGAGUGAUGAAGGCCUUAGGGUUGUAAAGCUCUUUCACCGGUGAAGAUAAUGACGGUAGCCGGAGAAGAAGCCCCGGCUAACUCCGUGCCAGCAGCCGCGGUAAUACGGAGGGGGCUAGCGUUGUUCGGAAUUACUGGGCGUAAAGCGCGCGUAGGCGGACUGAUCAGUCAGGGGUGAAAUCCCGGGGCUCAACCCCGGAACUGCCUUUGAUACUGUCAGUCUUGAGUCCGGAAGAGGCGAGUGGAAUACCGAGUGUAGAGGUGAAAUUCGUAGAUAUUCGGUGGAACACCAGUGGCGAAGGCGACUCGCUGGUCCGGUACUGACGCUGAGGUGCGAAAGCGUGGGGAGCAAACAGGAUUCAGAUACCCUGGUAGUCCACGCCGUAAACGGGUGGGCGCUAGGUGUGGGGGAUCGUUUCCACGAUCUCCGUGCCGUAGCUAACGCAUUAAGCGCCCCGCCUGGGAGUACGGCCGCAAGGCUAAAACUCAAAGGAAUUGA